GGCUCUGGGGUGUCACACGUGAGAUUGCAAGUCUCAAGAAGCAGAGGAGACUCUGCCGGGGCUU
Molecule: transfer RNA, 64 nt
Filed under: Lithodytes lineatus (gold-striped frog)
Lineage: Eukaryota; Metazoa; Chordata; Amphibia; Anura; Leptodactylidae
Description: tRNA-Cys
Source: RNAcentral